Molecule: ribosomal RNA, 501 nt
Filed under: uncultured bacterium
Lineage: Bacteria
Description: bacterial SSU rRNA
Rfam family: Bacterial small subunit ribosomal RNA
Source: RNAcentral
AGAGUUUGAUCCUGGCUCAGAACGAACGCUGGCGGCGUGGCUAAGACAUGCAAGUCAAACGGACUGUGCUUUUAGUACAGUCAGUGGCGUAAGGGUGCGGAACGGACAGGUAACGUACCCUGUGCUUCAGAAUAGCGUCUGAAAACUUCGGUUUUCUUCCGAAAGGGGCGGUAAUACUGAAUAAUGUCAUCUUUCGAAUGUUGGAUGACCAAAGAUUUAUCGGCACAGGAGCGGCCUAUCUCCUAUCAGCUUGUUGGUGAGGUAAUGGCUCACCAAGGCAACGACGGGUACCGGGACUGAGAGGUUGACCCGGCUCAUCGGGACUGAGACACUGCCCGGACCUCCACGGAGGGCUGCAGUAACGAAUAUUGCGCAAUGAGCGAAAGCUUGACGCAGCGACGCCGCGUGUAGGAUGAAGCUCCUCGGAGUGUAAACUACUGUCAGGACUUAGAAAGUGCGCUUCGGCGUAUUGAUCAAGUUCAAAGGAAGUCACGCUAACUU